UAAUCUUUAUAGGGUAGAUCUUCAUCUAGUUGUGACGGACCCACACCUAACUGUUCAGAAUCACCUGUUAUCACAGGCCCAACUACAUUAUUGAUCUUAUUAGAAAACAGAAGAAUAAAACUAUUUUGCUUGGAAUCAAUUG
Populus trichocarpa (black cottonwood) is the source of this 142-nucleotide non-coding RNA. NCBI's taxonomy places the organism in Eukaryota, Viridiplantae, Streptophyta, Magnoliopsida, Malpighiales, Salicaceae. The record is from Rfam.